CUUCAUUAUAUUUGCCAUGGUC
This 22-nucleotide non-coding RNA is filed under the name Rattus norvegicus (Norway rat). The record is from RNAcentral. Lineage: Eukaryota; Metazoa; Chordata; Mammalia; Rodentia; Muridae.